UCCGUAGGGUGCAAGCGUUGUCCGGAAUUAUUGGGCGUAAAGAGUUCGUAGGCGGUUACUUAAGUCUGGUGUUAAAGCCCGAUGCUCAACGUCGGCAUGGCAUUGGAAACUGGGUAGCUAGAGUGUGUCAGAGGUUACGGGAAUUCCUGGUGUAGCGGUGAAAUGCGUAGAUAUCAGGAGGAACACCUGUGGCGAAAGCGCGUAACUGGGGCAUAACUGACGCUGAGGAACGAAAGCCAGGGUAUCCAAAGGG
RNAcentral lists this ribosomal RNA (253 nucleotides) under uncultured bacterium. Its description in RNAcentral is "partial 16S ribosomal RNA". It matches the Rfam family "Bacterial small subunit ribosomal RNA", at positions 524 to 776 of the family's 1533-position model. The record is from RNAcentral.